AGCUCCAAUAGCGUAUAUUAAAGUUGUUGCAGUUAAAAAGCUCGUAGUUGGAUUUCUGGUACGGUGCGCCUGGUCCGCCCCUUUAUGGUGUGUGAGUACCGGCGCGCGCCUGCCAUCCUUCCUGAGAGCCGCGCUACCCUUCACUGGGCCGGCGUGGCAAUCUGGAUCGUUUACUUUGAAAAAAUUAGAGUGUUUCAAGCAGGCAUACUCGCUUUGAAUACAUUAGCAUGGAAUAAUAAGAUAGGACUUGGGUUCUAUUUUGUUGGUUUCUAGGACCGAAGUAAUGAUUGAUAGGGAUAGUUGGGGGUGCUAGUAUUUAGCGGCCAGAGGUGAAAUUCUUGGAUUCGCUAAAGACUAACUAAUGCGAAAGCAUUCACCAAGGAUGUCUUCUUUAAUCAAG
RNAcentral lists this ribosomal RNA (400 nucleotides) under phytoplankton environmental sample. Its description in RNAcentral is "partial small subunit ribosomal RNA". It matches the Rfam family "Eukaryotic small subunit ribosomal RNA", at positions 587 to 981 of the family's 1831-position model. The record is from RNAcentral.